RNAcentral lists this ribosomal RNA (489 nucleotides) under uncultured bacterium. Its description in RNAcentral is "partial 16S ribosomal RNA". It matches the Rfam family "Bacterial small subunit ribosomal RNA", at positions 30 to 507 of the family's 1533-position model. The record is from RNAcentral.
AUUGAACGCUGGCGGCAUGCCUUACACAUGCAAGUCGAACGGCAGCAUGAUCUAGCUUGCUAGAUUGAUGGCGAGUGGCGAACGGGUGAGUAAUACAUCGGAACGUGCCCUGUAGUGGGGGAUAACUAGUCGAAAGAUUAGCUAAUACCGCAUACGACCUGAGGGUGAAAGUGGGGACCGCAAGGCCUCAUGCUAUAGGAGCGGCCGAUGUCUGAUUAGCUAGUUGGUGAGGUAAAGGCUCACCAAGGCGACGAUCAGUAGCUGGUCUGAGAGGACGAUCAGCCACACUGGGACUGAGACACGGCCCAGACUCCUACGGGAGGCAGCAGUGGGGAAUUUUGGACAAUGGGCGAAAGCCUGAUCCAGCAAUGCCGCGUGUGUGAAGAAGGCCUUCGGGUUGUAAAGCACUUUUGUCCGGAAAGAAAUGGCUCUGGUUAAUACCUGGGGUCGAUGACGGUACCGGAAGAAUAAGGACCGGCUAACUACGUG